Molecule: long non-coding RNA, 860 nt
Organism: Cornus florida
Lineage: Eukaryota; Viridiplantae; Streptophyta; Magnoliopsida; Cornales; Cornaceae
Exons: 3
Source: RefSeq, a predicted model, not a curated record
GAAAAAUAGAGGAAAACAAAAUGAGCCGAGAGAGACACAGAGAGACGAGAGUUUGCAGAGAGAAGCUGCGAGGUUGCAGAGGAGGCCGGGAGCUUGAGGCUUUGAUGAUCUAGUGAGGAAAAUUCCUUUUCCAAGGAAUCAAAGGAAGGUACAGGAGUUAAUAUAUCAAACAUCACUAUGACUUUCCAUGCUGAAGUAUAUGGACUCUUCUAAAGUAUGGAAAUGCAAGAGCUUCACCUCAAGUCACUCCUAAUAUUCAACCAAUAGAAAAUUUAGAAGGAUCAAAAUGUGAAUUAUUACAUUGGAGUGAACCAAAUGUAGUUGUUAUUGAAGUUAUCGAUUCUACGAACAAAAAAUCAUGUGUGGAUGGUAUUCCUAUUAGAACCGAAUGUUGGAAAAUCUGGGUCAAGGUUGUAUUUGAUACUGAUGUGACCUUAUAUAGGGCGUGCAAAUAUUACUUGUACCUUCUACAAGCUAAGGGAGAAUAGUUUCAUGGCCCGCCAAGUUGGUUAGAAGAACUUAGUUUCAAAGGUAAUGGUUUUAUAUUAAAUAUAAAUGUGUUGAUUUAUACAUUUAUAAAUGCAUAUAAUUAUAUUUUUUUAUGUAUAAGAGUUUGAACCUUUGUCCCCAUUUUCAUCUUCCUCUCUUUCGCCUACUUCUUCAAGGCAUUAAUGUGACAAUUUAAUGUAAUAACUUGUCUUCUUUCUUCCAUUUUUUUUUUUUUUUUUUUUUUUUUGGCAGAGUGUGAUUGUAGGAUCAAUUUUUGCCAUAUAUGUUAUGUUCUUAUAUAUGGUAAUGUAACAUAAUGUGAGGAUUCUUUUUUCACAUUGGAGACAUGUAUAAUUUGUGAUAUUGAACCA